CCUACGGGAGGCAGCAGUGGGGAAUAUUGCACAAUGGGCGCAAGCCUGAUGCAGCCAUGCCGCGUGUGUGAAGAAGGCCUUCGGGUUGUAAAGCACUUUCAGUCAGGAGGAAAGGUUAGUAGUUAAUACCUGCUAGCUGUGACGUUACUGACAGAAGAAGCACCGGCUAACUCCGUGCCAGCAGCCGCGGUAAUACGGAGGGUGCGAGCGUUAAUCGGAAUUACUGGGCGUAAAGCGUACGCAGGCGGUUUGUUAAGCGAGAUGUGAAAGCCCCGGGCUCAACCUGGGAACUGCAUUUCGAACUGGCAAACUAGAGUGUGAUAGAGGGUGGUAGAAUUUCAGGUGUAGCGGUGAAAUGCGUAGAGAUCUGAAGGAAUACCGAUGGCGAAGGCAGCCACCUGGGUCAACACUGACGCUCAUGUACGAAAGCGUGGGGAGCAAACAGGAUUAGAUACCCUGGUAGUCCACGCCGUAAACGAUGUCUACUAGAAGCUCGGAGCCUCGGCUCUGUUUUUCAAAGCUAACGCAUUAAGUAGACCGCCUGGGGAGUACGGCCGCAAGGUUAAAACUCAAAKGAAUUGACGG
Molecule: ribosomal RNA, 585 nt
Filed under: uncultured bacterium
Lineage: Bacteria
Description: bacterial SSU rRNA
Rfam family: Bacterial small subunit ribosomal RNA
Source: RNAcentral